GACGAACGCUGGCGGCGUGCUUAACACAUGCAAGUCGAACGGAAAGGCCUCAGCUUGCUGGGGUCCUCGAGUGGCGAACGGGUGAGUAACACGUGGGUGAUCUGCCUUGCACUCUGGGAUAAGCUUGGGAAACUGGGUCUAAUACCGGAUAUGAACUGCCUUUAGUGUGGUGGUUGGAAAGUUUUUUCGGUGCAAGAUGAGCUCGCGGCCUAUCAGCUUGUUGGUGGGGUAAUGGCCUACCAAGGCGUCGACGGGUAGCCGGCCUGAGAGGGGGUACGGCCACAUUGGGACUGAGAUACGGCCCAGACUCCUACGGGAGGCAGCAGUGGGGAAUAUUGCACAAUGGGCGGAAGCCUGAUGCAGCGACGCCGCGUGGGGGAUGACGGCCUUCGGGUUGUAAACUCCUUUCGACAGGGACGAAGCUUUUUGUGACGGUACCUGUAUAAGAAGCACCGGCUAACUACGUG
RNAcentral lists this ribosomal RNA (467 nucleotides) under uncultured bacterium. Its description in RNAcentral is "partial 16S ribosomal RNA". It matches the Rfam family "Bacterial small subunit ribosomal RNA", at positions 28 to 507 of the family's 1533-position model. The record is from RNAcentral.